Molecule: ribosomal RNA, 253 nt
Filed under: uncultured bacterium
Lineage: Bacteria
Description: partial 16S ribosomal RNA
Rfam family: Bacterial small subunit ribosomal RNA
Source: RNAcentral
GACAGAGGUGCCGAGCGUUAGGCGGAAUCACUGGGCUUAAAGCGUGUGUAGGCGGGUCGUUAAGUGCCUUGUGAAAUCCCACAGCUCACCUGUGGAACUGCUUGGCAUACUGGCGGUCUUGAGCCACUUAGGGGCAACCGGAACAAACGGUGGAGCGGUGAAAUGCGUAGAUAUCGUUUGGAACGCCAAUGGUGAAAACAGGUUGCUGGGAGUGCGCUGACGCUGAGACACGAAAGCCAGGGGAGCGGACGGG